CAACACAGUAAAGGAGGAGACCAUAUUUAAAAGAAGAAAAACUACCACAACAAGUCUUAAAUUAGAGGGGCAAAGGUUUAAAAAUAAUAUCAGGAAGUAUUAAUUUACUGAGAGGGUAGUGGAUGCAUGGAAUAGCCUUCCAGCUGAAGUAGUAGAGGUUAACACAGUGAAGGAGUUUAAGAAUGCUUGGUGUAGGCAUAAGGCUAUCCUAACUAUAAGAUAAGGCCAGGGACUAAUGAAAGUAUUAAGAAAAUUGGGCAGACUAGAUGGGCCGAAUGGUUCUUAGCUGCCGUCACAUUCUAUGUUUCUGUUACUUUCCUUGUUUUCUGUUUGCCAAGUUCUGAGGUCACCAGUGCAGAGCCCCAAUGCAAGAGUAUUCCCAUAUUUCUCAACAAAACUUUUUGUCAACACUACACAUAUGCACAAACUAGUUGGGAGAUGUUUUUCUCUAUGACCCUGGGGAGAGUCAAGCUGUAGCAACUUAGCUCAGGAGCUAAAGUCUGUGUAUAAAACAAUAGCAUCCAGUUAAUGGCUUCUAUCUGUUAUAGAGAAGUUCCACUCAUCGUAUUUAACGAGAAGAACUAUGACUAGGGGAAAAACUACUUAUCCUAUAAACUACUUACUGGAUUGGAGUUUAUGGGACAAGACCUCAAAUUCAAGAAUGAGAGGCUCCUGAUUGGCGCGUUCUUUUAAUGGUUAUGAAGAUGUCUGCCUUAAGCUAUUUUUACAAAUAUUUUAAUGUUAUUAUUUGUAGCUAAUUUCGAAAAUAAUAAGUAAUUUUUGACAAUAUUUAAUUUUUAAAGGGGCACUAUAACCAUGACAUUACAUUGUAGUGUUUAUAAUGUUAGCAGACUACUGCUGCCGUCCCCUGGUCCUGAUGCUCUCUGAUAUACAAUUUGGAUGAAAUUUCCAUUAAUGUAAUUUCUCCUAACUUGGAAAAUACAUGAAACAUCAAUGCUGCAUUUACAAAAUAAAACACAGACAAUGCAGGAAAAGUUACU
Pelobates cultripes (western spadefoot toad) is the source of this 1001-nucleotide non-coding RNA. The record is from the annotation of a GenBank genome assembly. NCBI's taxonomy places the organism in Eukaryota, Metazoa, Chordata, Amphibia, Anura, Pelobatidae.